RNAcentral lists this ribosomal RNA (152 nucleotides) under uncultured bacterium. RNAcentral's name for it is "partial 16S ribosomal RNA". It matches the Rfam family "Bacterial small subunit ribosomal RNA", at positions 336 to 484 of the family's 1533-position model. The record is from RNAcentral.
CUCCUACUGGAGGCAGCAGUGAGCGAAUAUUGCGCAAUGGCAGAAACCGUGACGCAGAGACGCCGCGUGGAUGAUGAAGGCCUUCGGGUCGUAAAAUCCAAUCAGAUGGAAAGAAAAGCCAUACCUAAUACACUGUAUUGACGUACCAUCAA